CGUAAAGAACUUGCCUCACAGCUAGGGACAACAUUUAGAGAUGAAUGCUAAUACCUGAUAUUAUGAUUUUAAGGCAUCUUAGAAUUAUGAAAGCUAUAAGCACUGUGAGAGAGCUUUGCGUCCCAUUAGCUAGUUGGAGAGGUAACAGCUCACCAAGGCGAUGAUGGGUAGCCGGCCUGAGAGGGUGAACGGCCACAAGGGAACUGAGACACGGCCCUU
Molecule: ribosomal RNA, 219 nt
Filed under: uncultured bacterium
Lineage: Bacteria
Description: partial 16S ribosomal RNA
Rfam family: Bacterial small subunit ribosomal RNA
Source: RNAcentral